This 404-nucleotide ribosomal RNA is filed under the name uncultured bacterium. Its description in RNAcentral is "bacterial SSU rRNA". It matches the Rfam family "Bacterial small subunit ribosomal RNA", at positions 355 to 776 of the family's 1533-position model. The record is from RNAcentral.
UUAGGAAUCUUGCACAAUGGGCGAAAGCCUGAUGCAGCGACACCGCGUGGAGGAUGAAGGUCUUCGGAUCGUAAACUCCUUUUCCCUGGGACGAUUAUGACGGUACCAGGGGAAUAAGCACCGGCUAACUAUGUGCCAGCAGCCGCGGUAAUACAUAGGGUGCAAGCGUUAUUCGGAAUAACUGGGCGUAAAGGGCGUGUAGGUGGCUUCAGAAGUCCGGCGUUAAAUCUUUCGGCUCAACCGAGAGCUCGCGUUGGAAACCAUGGAGCUAGAGUUUUGCAGGGGUAAGCGGAAUUCCGGGUGUAGCAGUGAAAUGCGUUGAUAUCCGGAGGAACACCAAUGGCGAAGGCAGCUUACUAGGCAAUUACUGACACUGAGGCGCGAAAGCGUGGGGAGCGAACAGG